GUUUUCUUCACACAGAAGGAGAGAGGUAAGGAAAGGAAAGCAAGAGAUAGAGACACCCAUGAAAGAUCAAAAGUUUCAAAGUGGGGAGAGAUAUAUCUGAGAAAAAGACUUGUCCCUCUUGUGGCAACUUGGAUAUACUUUGACAAGAAAGCUUUGAUCCUCCCUCCCUCCUUCCCUCCCUCUCUCCGUCUCCCUGAGUUGGGUUUUACAACUAGUAGAAGUUUCCUUUAGAAUUCAAAACCAAAAACUGAGUUUCUUUGUUGGAGAAAAAAAGAGAUGAAAAUGGUCUAAAAGGAAGAGUCUUGCAUGGCGAGCCACGGGGUUGGGGAGACUGGUUUAUCAGACUCGGGUCCUUCUAAUCAUCAUCUCCCUUAUGCAGCUCUUCAUGGAAUCAAUACUCCAUCUACCAGUUUCUUUAAUCAAGAAGGACCUCCUUUUGAUUUUGGAGAGCUGGAAGAAGCAGUUCUGCAAGGAGUUAAGAUUAGGAAUGAUGAAGCUAGAGCACCUUUAUUCAGACCUGCAGCUACUCUGGAAAUGUUCCCCCCAUGGCCAAUAAGAUUCCAACCAACACCAAGAGUAGUAGUUUCUUAGCUUGCUUUCUCCAUCUUUGACUAUCUCUUCUGUCUUUUGAUAUGGGUACUGGAUAGAUACAUAAACAAAGCUUGAAAGUUCAAGACCUUAUUCUCUCCAGUUUUCACUCAAAAAAUUUUUUCCAUGAAAGUUUCUUUAUUUCCUCGAUUGGCAAGUCACUUUUCUUCUGGUUCUUGGGUGCCCAUUCGGAACUUAGUUUACUAAGGUGAUUGUAAUAUUCUUUUUGGUAACAAACGCUUCUUGGAUACCCAUUUGAAUAUUUCUGGUGGGGAUUGCUUUUGUUU
Molecule: unclassified non-coding RNA, 875 nt
Filed under: Hevea brasiliensis (rubber tree)
Lineage: Eukaryota; Viridiplantae; Streptophyta; Magnoliopsida; Malpighiales; Euphorbiaceae
Source: RNAcentral